Molecule: ribosomal RNA, 265 nt
Filed under: uncultured bacterium
Lineage: Bacteria
Description: partial 16S ribosomal RNA
Rfam family: Bacterial small subunit ribosomal RNA
Source: RNAcentral
CCGGCGACCGGCGCACGGGUGAGUAACACGUAUGUAACCUGCCCUCUUCAGGGGGACAACCUUCCGAAAGGGAGGCUAAUCCCGCGUAUAUCGGUUUCGGGCAUCCGAGAUCGAGGAAAGAUUCAUCGGAAGAGGAUGGGCAUGCGGCGCAUUAGCUAGACGGCGGGGUAACGGCCCACCGUGGCGACGAUGCGUAGGGGUUCUGAGAGGAAGGUCCCCCACACUGGUACUGAGACACGGACCAGACUCCUACGGAAGGCAGCAG